RNAcentral lists this ribosomal RNA (484 nucleotides) under uncultured bacterium. RNAcentral's name for it is "partial 16S ribosomal RNA". It matches the Rfam family "Bacterial small subunit ribosomal RNA", at positions 30 to 507 of the family's 1533-position model. The record is from RNAcentral.
AUUGAACGCUGGCGGCAGGCCUAACACAUGCAAGUCGAGCGGAUGAAGGGAGCUUGCUCCUGGAUUCAGCGGCGGACGGGUGAGUAAUGCCUAGGAAUCUGCCUGGUGGUGGGGGAUAACGUCCGGAAACGGGCGCUAAUACCGCAUACGUCCUGAGGGAGAAAGUGGGGGAGCUUCGGACCUCACGCUAUCAGAUGAGCCUAGGUCGGAUUAGCUAGUUGGUGGGGUAAAGGCCUACCAAGGCGACGAUCCGUAACUGGUCUGAGAGGAUGAUCAGUCACACUGGAACUGAGACACGGUCCAGACUCCUACGGGAGGCAGCAGUGGGGAAUAUUGGACAAUGGGCGAAAGCCUGAUCCAGCCAUGCCGCGUGUGUGGAGAAGGUCUUCGGAUUGUAAAGCACUUUAAGUUGGGAGGAAGGGCAGUAAGUUAAUACCUUGCUGUUUUGACGUUACCAACAGAAUAAGCACCGGCUAACUUCGUG